This is a long non-coding RNA of Neodiprion virginianus, 10254 nucleotides long. RefSeq lists it as uncharacterized. Lineage: Eukaryota; Metazoa; Arthropoda; Insecta; Hymenoptera; Diprionidae. The transcript is spliced from 3 exons. The record is from RefSeq and is a predicted model, not a curated record.
CAUACGUGUGCUUUUCCGAUCUUGAAACGAGAAAUGGCCGUGCCAAAAAGCUGCGGUAAAAACAAAACGAUAGAGAAGGAAAGAAAAACUUGGCAUCGGUUUCCGUUUCCGUAGAACAACCAGGGGAGAAAAAAAUUAAAAACAGCGAUAGAAAAGUAAAGAAUUUUCCAGUUAAGCCAAUUCGAGAGGUAGAAAAUUGGGAUAAAAGUUAACAAGUAAAUUAACCAAUGUGCAUGUAUUCACACACACACACACACACACACGUGAAAACACACCUUACACACGUAUAUGAUAUAUGAGUAUAUUAUUGUAUGUAAAAAUCUACCUCCCGUUAAGUACGAUACGUGUGCCAGUAUAAAGCAAGAGAUAGAUAGAUAGAAAGAGAGAGAGGGGGCGAACCGAAAGCGAAGGAGAAAGAGAGAAGGAAAAGGGAAACAUGGAGAAAAAAAGAAAACACGGUCGUAUGUGUAUAUUAGAGUUACAAGAGAGAGAGAGAGAGAGAGAGAGAGAGAGAGAGAGAGAGAGAAUAAAAAAGGAGAAGAGAAGAUGAAAAGAAAGAGAGAGGAAAAAAAAAUAAAAUAAAAAAAAUCAAACCAUACUUAUAUAAUAUAAUAUGAAAUGUAUAAUUAUAGAGAAUGAAAAGUUGAUAUGCUUUUUUUCUUUCCAUUUCAUUCUAACUUCGCGUGAAUUGUAAGAAAACAAAAAAACAAAAAAAAAAAAAUUUCACACAAAGACGUAACGAAAGAACGAAGACAAAUUUACAAAAAAAGAAAAAGAAAAACGGACGCGAGCGUCAGACCGGCUCUCAAUUUUGAAAUAGCCAUUUCGACGUUUUUUUGUGAAGCGGAAAAAAUGCAAAACCAACCCCCCAAAACCCGAUGCAAUAGAAAGACGACAGAGAAAAAAAAAAAAAAAGAAAGAAGAAAAAAAAAAUGAAGCCGAAUACAAAAGAAAUACAGCCACAAUAUAUACGAAGAUGCAGUUAAUAAUCCUGCGUGGGACCCGGCCGGGAGUCCGUUUGUCGUUUCUCAACGAAAAUCUCUGCCCCUCGUCAAUUCGCGGGGGGUGCAUAAGGCCCCCCGCGCGAGGGGCACCCGGUCGAACCUCGCUUGGGUCCCACGCCAUAUAUUCUCACUCACAGCACACACUGGGCCGACUCGUCCGAUAGAAUGUGCCUUCAGUGUUGAUUUUAUACGAAAAAAAAUACUAAAAUUAUACAAAGGGGCCCGACAUAGACCGAAACGCCCACCCAAAGCCUGUCUGGCGCUUGCGAGCUGACCGUAAAAAUUUUUUUUUUUUAACCGGAAUUCCACCCCCAACGCCCCCCGCCCCCCGCCCCAACCCCUCAUCGCGAAGUGAAGAGAAAAACGUAAAUUACACUCAAUAAUUCAUCGUCAUAUACACGAAAAACCAACAAAAUCACGCACAGUAUUCGAUUCCAAGCUUUUUCUUUUCCGUGAAUUUGAAAGAGUAUUUUUUUUUGUUGUUGUUCACGGUUUUUUUCGACAUUUUCUUUACACGAGAUCGAUCGUGUGAAUUAUUGUCAAUUCGAUGAGAUAGUGAAGGGAAUAAUACGCGAAACAUCGAAAGGUGGUGGUGAAAGAAUUUUUCGUUUCGAAAAUAAGAAGGGCAGGUGCAGCAAAAACUUUUUCUCAAAUCGUAAAAAAUGUAGGAAAAACUUUACGUUUCAAAGUCCCACUUCUAAGUAUAUUGUAUUAAUAAGGUAACCGCAUAAAAAUUUCUUCACACUGAUCGAUACUGAAACGGUGAAUUUUUCAACCCCUUAAAAUCAUCGUUAUUGUAUCAAAUAUUACAGGUAUCGAUCAGUUUUUCCACCCUUCGUUAAUUUUGUUUUUUUUUUGUUUUUUUUUUUCUUUCGCUCGUCAAACUCGAAUGGAUUUUAGAACUCUGCAACACCCGGUCGCUCGUCCGAGUAAAUUUACGUUGGGUAUACGUGACACGAUGAUCGAAUUAUGUUAGGCAGUUAAAAUAUCGUCAACCUCCGGGGGACACGUUCGUUAAAGGUUUCACGCCUAUGAUGAAAAUGAAACGCUUGGAAUGAAGGAAUGAAAAUACGCACACACACACGCAUUAUACGUAUAUAUACACGCAUGGCAGCAGUCAAAAUGUCGCUACAACAGAAACAACGCAAAAAUCGCGUGCAAAAACAGUAAAAAUAUACUAAUUGGCAAAAGAAUUAAAAAAUAAAAAAAAAACAAAGAUAAACAUCACCCCAUCCCCCGAAGCAAAAAAAAAAGUAUAUGUACAUAAUGAACAGGUCUCCAAACCAGUCGGAACGAAACGGGGGGAAUGACAUAAAAAAAAAAAAAAAAAAACCAACCCGAGAACAAUUUUUUUGGUUCAGGCAAGGAGUUCGGAACGCUGCUUAUAACACACCGACGCAUAUAUAAUAUAUGUAUAUUUAUCGAUUAUGCAAUGACUAUGACGACGACAAUGAUGAUUAUUAUUAUUGUUAUUAUUAUAGACGAUACGUAUAAGUGAUUGUAUUAUAUAUAGGUAUGCGUACUAUGGUCUCUCCCGCUGAUAAUCUCACCCCGAAGAGAGAAAAAAAAAUAAAUAAAUAACCCGGUUCGAACAGCAUAGAAGGAGAAGGGAAAAGAAAAAAAAAACAAUUAAAGAAGGAAAAAUUUGAAAAAACCAAAAAUAACACGAGUAAUAAACAGUAACAAUAGUAAUGGAAUCCCCGCCGCAUUAUAAUAAAAAUAAUACCCAUUGACAGAAUAACAAUAGUACUAAUAAUAGUAACAAUAAUUAUAAGAAUAAUAAGAAUAAGAAUAAUGAUGAUAAUGAAUUAAAUACAAGUACGUAUAAUGCACAUAGUAUAAUUAAUAAUACCAUGUCGCGUGUAACGUAUGACGAAUGAUAUUGACGACACAACAUUGGAAAAGCUAUAUGGGUACGUGUGCAAAGGUACAUUAUUUAUGUUUUAGCGACGAUGAAGAUGAAUAAUAAUAAUAAAAAUAAUAAUAAUAAGAAGAAGAAGAAGAAGAAGAAGAAGAAGAAGAGGAAGGAAAAAACAAACAGCUAUCAAUACCAAACUAGAGUGAGCGAAGAAACCGGAAAUGAAAGAGAAACCGAAAAAAACACACAGACACACUGAUCAUUCGAACAACUUGCAUAAUAUUACCAUUAUAAUAAACGAUAACAAUAAUAAAAGUAACGAUAACGAUGAUAUGUAUAUGUAUGUAUGUAUAUAUAUAUAUAUGUAUAUACAUAUAUAUACCUAAUAAUAUUCGUAAAGAAUGUUAUUUCAGUUGAAUUACUAUCACGCAGCAAACAGUAUACAUAUAAUGUAACAUUGUAAAAUGAUUAGUUGAUUAUUUGAUUAUUAUUACAGUACCUCGUAUACAUGAUAUAUAUAUAUAUACCGCAUUGAAUAUACGUAUGCAUUGUAACUUACGAUAUAAUUAACUAUCUAUACCUACAUACAGUACGAUUGGAUUAUAAACCGUGAAUUAAUGUGUGUCGACAAAUACUCUUUAUAUUAUUAUUAUUAUUAUUAUUAUUAUUAUUUUAUUAUUAUUAUUAUUAUAUCACGCCGUACAGGAAACAAUAGAAACGCGAUAAUUGACGAGAAACAAGAGGAAUGUUGGAAAAAAGUCAACGAAUGGAAACAACUAACGGAUGAAGAAAAAUUGAUGAAACAAAUAAACCGAUCCGAUCCGUGCAACUUAUCACUCACGAACAAUGUGUAACGAGUGAAAUAACUUGACGUACAUACAACUUCACGAUACAUCCGUAAAAUGACAAUGACGAAGAAACAUUGAAUAAGAAUAAAGAAAAAAAAAAAAAAAAGAAAACCUACAUCAAACGAAGAUAAAUCCAUAAAACGAACGAAAAAAAAUCCAGAGAAACGUGUAAUAUGCAACAAUAAAGAAGCGCCGUGUAACUUGUAAUGAUUAUCAAUAUUAUCUGUCAACAGACACGUAUAUAAUAACAAUACAAUGAUAAUAAUAAAAAUAACAAUACUAAUGGUAACGAAAGGCAACAAAAAAAAAAAACCAAAAAACAAAAAAAAAAAAACAAACAAAACACAAUAAUAAUAAUGAUAACAAUAACAAUAAUAAUGAUAGUAACGAUAAUUUAAUAUUGUGUCAAGAACAGAAACCGAUUUUUAUUAUAUAACAAUUACCUUAUACCUUAUCCACUUAUCUACUAUUCGACACACACGCAAAUCAUAUAACAAUACCGCAUGUAAUAAUACCCAUAUGUAAUAAUAGAGUAGAACAUGUAAACCGAGAAAACCGUGAAAACCGUAGAAACCAUGUGUAAAUUUGUUCUCAGUUUUGUUUGAUUUUUUUUUUUUUUUUUCUCGUCUCAAAUUUCGUUCCAUUGCCAGUAAGUACGCGAAGAAGAAGCAAUCUUUUUUACUUUUUUCGUUUUUUUUUUUUUUUAAUAUUCUCACCGACGAUUCAUCGAUUAAUGACAAUUGGAAAAACCGAUUAACCACGCGUCGUGCAGUCGUAACAGUAUAUAUAUAUAUGAUUCUCAUACCAAAUCUACGUAUGUGUUAAACUGCGCAUCAUUAAUGGACCGUCAACGGUAUCUCACAAGCACACGCAUGCUCACACACACAGAUACACAAAUUACUACCACGACAACAACAACAGCAACAACGACAGCAAACGCGAGAAAAAUAGAAGAAGAAGAAAAAAAAACUACGGUAUAAAAACGGAACGCGUACAAUUAUACGUAACAAUGAAUACAAUAAUAAAUCAAUUAAUACCAUGCCUGCAGUAAUAUAUAUAUAUAUUACAACCUUUCAACGAACCGAUUGAUAAUUGUUAUUAUUAUUUUCUCCGUAAUACACAAUAUAAUAUUAGAAUUUUAAUGCAUUACAUAAACAAACAAUAUAUCGUGCGACCUCAAACGUGUGGGGGAGACCAUGUGUGUAUCUGUAACAAUGUACCUAUGUUAUAUAUAAUAUAUAGUACUUCAACCGUCGUUGUUACUACUUCGGCGUAUUUUGGUCCGACAUUUUUUUUUUAUUUUUUAUUCCACCUCGAAAAUCUGAUUUUCCUUCUCUGCCAAUCAAGAAAGUAAAGAUUAUUCUGUGAUCGUUUGUUUUCAUUAUUCUUCGUUUCGAUCACCUUGCGGGCAAAAAUCGAAACAAAUACGUGAAAACUAGAAAAAAGCAGACAACAAAAAAAAAAAAAAAAGUACGUCAGACAGAGGUAAUAAACUUCAAAAUCCGAAAGUGAUGAGAAUAAUAAAGAAAAUCAAAAAAACUUUCACGUGGCAGGUAAAAUUUUGAAUUUGGUAUUUUUUUGUAACUUGUACCGAUUCAAAAUUUUCAUACGCCGGACAAAAGAAUCGAAAUUCUCAGCACAGAGGUUAUCAAUUUUAGUCACUUCUUAUUGCAGAUAAUUGCGAAUAAAUGAAUACUGUCCGCGAGGUGGUAUAAAUAAUGAUCACGAAUCUAAAUUCAAAUUCGACGUAUAAACUGACAAAAAGAAAAAAAAAAAAUGGAAGUAAAGCAGAGAAGGAAAUUGAUUAUUUUUUUCUUUCAAAUACAAAAAGAUUACGGAAAUAAGUGAAGGAAGGAAAAUCUUCCCUGUCGAUCCCUGUUCCCAGACGAAGAAAAGAAAAUAAUGAAAACCAAAUCCCAGCGUAAGAAACAAAAACCGUAAAACUUGUUGUGCUAUCCGUUAUUUUCGACAUAUUUGUAAUACCAUUGUAUUAAUAUAUGCAUAUAUAGGUAUACAUAUUUAACGAUUAAACAUGAUUAAAAUACAUGUAUACGUAUGACUGCAGGCGAAAGAAUGAGAAGUCGAAAGUGACACGUAUUAAACGCAUACAUAUUAUAAAUAAAUAUAAAUGUAUAGGCAACAAUCCAUUACGAAAUAUUCUUUAUAUAUAUUAUAAUUAUCAUCACAAUAACAAUAACAGCUUGAAACACACGUCAAACAGGAAGAAUGGUUUAAAAAAUAAAUAAAAAAAACAACAAUAAUUUAAAAUAGAUUAAAAAUGAAUACAAACGAAAAAAAAAACAAAAAAAAAAAAUGAAUUACAACAACAGCGGCAACAAAGAAAUCGAAUCAAUCAAAACGCAUUAGUUUAAACCGAAAUACUCGCGGUUGGCUUCCACGAGCUUCAAUUUCAUUUGCGAAUAACGAUAAGAAAAGAAACUCGAUGAAAGUUUUCACGAUUCACAAACGCAUGUAUAUUAUUAUACGUAAUUAUACAUAUAUUAUAACAUAAUGCAGAGUUGGCACUGUGUAACUUCCUGUUUAAGUAGGGAAAUUUUUUUUCAAGGGGAUUUCUUACGCGAGACGAUAAUAUUCACGACAAAUGAUAAAAGUCAUCAAAAAAAUCGCUACACCUUGCGAAUAAUCAAGAUAUGUUGUGUGAAAAAAAAAAAAAGAAAACCCCUCGAUUAUUAUACGUACUAUGAUACAACAGCCGACGGAUCCUAUAAUAAUAUAAUUAAUCAAAUUCGGGACAGUGCAAUAUAUAUUAUAAUGUGUGAUCGAUAAUUUCAUCGAGUUUGUUGACUUUCGCGAAAUGUUGUUGCGAAAAAGAAGGAGGGAGAAAUAAAAUUAAAACAAAAAAAAAAAAAAACAUUCCUAUUUGGGGAGAGUGAAAAAAUCUGAUUCUCAUCAAUGCAGGAAUGCAGUACUAUUAUUAUCAUUAUUGUUGUGAUGACGGUAAUUUUUUUUUUUCUCUUGGACAAUUUUUAUUUUUCUUCUUUUUGUUUCUUUUUUUUUUGUCCAGGAUAAUUAUUAAAUUGUUAUCGGGUUAAUUUACAGAUGAGCAGCACGUAAUGAAUCGAUGCAAUCUUACUGCAAUUGAUUCGUGUACAUAUUACAAACAAUAUAUUAUAUAAUACAUACAUACGUAUAUAUAUUUUUUUUUUUCAUGUUACAGAAAUAACGCGCGAUAUGAACCGUGUCAGUAUAUAUAAUAACAUUGAUAAAAAUGUAUAAUUUAUACGGCAUACGGCGUGCAAAAUAAGACUGGUCCUCGUUUCCCCGCAAUGUCAACGCAAUAUUGCAUACAUUUAUUACAUGAACUAUAUAUAUAUAACAUAUUACACGCACGUGCACACACAAACCGAUAUUAGUAUUGCUAUAUUUUAAUUACACUGUAUUACAACAAUGAAGUAUGAUAAUUAGAAUGAGAAAUCAGUGAAAUUUUCAAUCAAAGCUCAUUACGUCAAUCAACGAGCAGUGAACCCUCCCGAAAAUAAAUAAAAAUAAAAAAAAAAAAAACCAGCAACAACAAAGACAGCAGAAAGGUGAAACCAUGAGACGCCAACCGCGAUUAAACAACAAAGAUUUUCAAUAGAAGAGACACGUAGCAAAAGAAAGAAAAAAUCCCCACACACACACACACACACACGCACACAUACGCAUAAAAAAAAACCAGUACGAAGCAGAUAUUUCUUUUUUUUUUUUGAAGAGUAGAAAAUGGAGGAACAAAAAAGAAAUAAAUAAAUAAAAGAAAAUUGGUUUUCUCUUUCUUUAACACCGAACAGAAACUAGCAAAGGAAAAAACAUGCAAACAAUUUAUGAAAUUUUUUAUUUGCAGUACAACCGAGCAUCCGUAGAGCCAUAUAAUAAAUAUGUAGGUAUAAGUAUGCUGAUAUACGAGUAUACGUACAUAUAUUAGUAUAUACGUAUAUAUAGUUAAUCAUUGUUGUAUAACGAUUAAUCAUAUGCGAAAAUAAGGUAGGAGGAAUGAUUCGGAGAAAAAACAACAACAACAACAACAACAAAUAAAUAAAUAAAUAAAAAAAACAAAAAACAAACCAUCACCAACAAAUACGAACGAAUAAUUUACGCGCAUCGCAGCUGGUGAUACGCGUUGUGCGUUACAUUAUAUACCCUGCAAAAUAUCGCGAUUCGAUGCAAAAAAAAGGUAAUAACGAAUGUAAGGCUACGAGUAUAUAUAUACAACACAAUUGUGUAUACAUGCAUAUACGGUGAAUUACUGUAAACGUGCGUCGUAGAUGAACGAUAAUUAAAGAAUUGAAAAUUAACGAGGUUUCGAACGUAAAGAAGAGAGGGAAAAAAAAAAUUAAAAAAAAAAAUCAGUGAAGGGAAAAAUAAAAAUUUGGAUCCAAAGCAGGGAGAAACAUUUGAAAUAGACAAAAAAAAUUGUCAAGGGAAAUGAAAAACGAUAAAACGACUAAUGGAAUUAUUGGAAAAAAGAAUAAGGGCGUAAAAAAAAAAACAAGAAAUUAUCGUAUUAUCGAAAUAAAAAAAAAAAAAAAACGAAAAACAAUGACGAUUGUAUUUAGGUACAUAGACAUAAUCUGUAAAUUGGAAGUAUAUAACAUAACGUAUAAUGUAUAAUGAGAGACGCGCGGUCACCAGUGUGCAGACCCCGUCCAACGGGUGCGAAAAAUUAUGUGUAACAAUACCUAAAUUGCGUACGAUUUAAGGUGUUUUAAUAUUAAAUGAUAAUAAAACUAAUAAUGAUAAUGAUAAGCUUAGUAUACACACGUGACACGGAAAUAUUUAAAAAAAAAAAAAAACGAAAAAAACAAAAAAAAACCAAAACACGAUAGACACAUAAUAAUAAUAAUAUAUACAUAAUUAUCUUUGGGUAUGUUAUUAUAGUAUUAUAUGAUAAUAAUGAUAAUUUCAAGUGAAGGAUAACGAAAGAGGCAUUGGGAAAGAAAUUUUUCAAAAAUCGAACGACGAGACGAUACACGUUUUAGGUGAAAUUAAAUUUAACCAAAAUGAUGGUAAAGGAAAACGAAACGACGGAGUAAAGGAAACGAGAAUACAUUUUUUUUAACGACAAUUUUCGGAGGCUAUAAUAUCUAACGAUAAGUAAGGAUCUCGUGCAUACGAUAUGCAUACACCUGUAUUAAGACGUUAAGAUGAGUAUAAGAAAUUAAUUAAUCAACUAACGAAAAAUUGUUGUAAUCACGUAAGUUUCAGGGUGACAGGGGGGGAGAGAUCCUGAGCUAUUAAUGAAUUUUAAAGGGGGAAAAAAAGAAACGACGAAAUCACGCUGGUGGUGAAAAAAAAGGGAAAAUUCUUGUCCGAAAAUUGAUUGAACGCGGCGUCUGAGUGAUAAUUAUUAAUAAUACACACUCGGGUAGUUAUUGGUGACUGCGCGCGGCGUUCGAUCGUGUAAAAAAAUUAACGACUCUCUGCAAGUUGGAACAAAAAAUAGAAAAGAGAUAAGAGAGCGUGAGAGAAGAAAAAAAUUACAAGAAAAAAAAAAACCGCCUCCAAAAUUACCCUGAAAAAUGAUGAAGGAAAAAAAAUGAUACAUACAUAUAUAUGUGUAUAUAUAUAUAUAGGUAUUUCCAUAGACUUUGUCGUGAUUAUUGUAAUUAUUAUUAUUAAUGUCAUGAUUAUAUUUUGAAUUAUAUAUUUUCAUCAUAUUGUAUAACAUUCAUGAUCGUCACGUCGUUAGUUUGUUGAAAAAAUUUAUUUUCGUUCGUCAUUUCCCGCGGUAUAAAUUGUGUAUAAUAAUAUAAAUCCUUCGAAUGUGCAAUCUACAUUUUGGCAUAUAUGUGAGAUAUAAUUGCACCGGAUCUAUCGCACAAAAAAAAAAAAAAAAAUAAAUAUUUUUGGCAUUUAGGUAUAAUACAUAUUCUAUAAAUUUCGACUGUUGGGUAGUGGGGACAAAAAGUUUAAGAAAAUUUUUAAAAUGUAAGAAAUUAAAGUAAAUUGAAAAUUUUCGACGAGUCAAAUUUUGUAAAAUGUAUCGCGAGGAAUUAUUGUUACAAUAUAUUAUCAUUAAAUUUAGGAUAUAUUCACUAUUCAUAUCGAACGACGAUAUAUAUAUAUAUAUAUAUAUGUAUAUAUAUAUAUAUAAUAUAUACAAUUAACGAGUAAUAUAAGAAAUUUGAAAUUCGAUGAACAAAAGUAAGGUAGUAAAAAGAAAGAAAAAAUAUGAAAAAAAAAAGAAAACACCGAACGGCCUCGUGAAAAAAAAAUGAGAGGUUAUUACAAGAUUUGCUCGGGCCGCCGCAAUUGCUGCUGAACGUGUGUAGAAAAAGAAAAAAGCAAAAGACAAAAAAAAUCAGAUGAUGGAAAAAAAAAUUUAAUAAUAAUAAUAAUAAUAAUAAUAAUAACAAUAACAAUAGUAAUACUAUUAACGAUAAUAUUUAAAAUAUAUGGCUACAAGUACAAAUUACUUCGAUUACGGAGACGUAGGUGUGUAUAUUGAUGUGUGAAAACAAAAGACAAAAAAAAAAAAACCAAAAAAAAACAAACAAAAAUAAAAACCAUAAGUUAGAAGAAGAAGAAAGAUUGAACUAACGAAUAA